This 1076-nucleotide unclassified non-coding RNA is filed under the name Leishmania donovani. Its description in RNAcentral is "gene:LdHU3.09.1750(CDS-product:Bacterial_trigger_ factor_protein_(TF)_C-inus_putative)". Lineage: Eukaryota; Euglenozoa; Kinetoplastea; Trypanosomatida; Trypanosomatidae. The record is from RNAcentral.
GCUCGCGCAUACACAUACAUACUUGUUUACAGAGGGACACGCCGUUCCGGCUUGCCCCCUCCUCCUCCCACAUUUUUUUUGUUUCCCUUGCAUCCUUUCCUAUUUCGCCGCCUGUGUCUAGCUCAAAUGCCGGUGGACUACUCCAAGAAGCUGGACGCGCUCCGGGAGCUGUACGAGCGUGUGCAGCAGAAGGACGCCAACAUCCCGGAGGACGUGUACGCCGCCGCCGGCGUGAAGAACAAGGCCCGUCUGAAGGACAUCGAGAAGGAGAUCAGCACCACGAAGAAGAAGGUUUCCCAGGAGGUGAAGAAGGUGACGAACGAGGAGAUUGAGAAGGAGUACGAGGCGCUGGCCAAGGAGCACAACAUGACGGUGGAGGAAUUCAAGGAGACGGUGAUGGGCAAGGGGCGUCAGCCCGCCCUCGGUAGCGAAUUCUCUGAGCGCCACGCUGCCCAGAGGAGGGAGCGGGCGGAGCAGCGUGAUCUAAAGGAGACCCGCCGCCAGGUCGAGCGCGGUGACUUCGACAUGGCUGUGGACUACGUUUAAGACGCGCCGGCGCCGUGGUUGUUUUCUCGGUUGCUCGUUUUAUUCCCCCGCCUGAUCCCGCCUCGACUCCAUGAGUAAUGUCGUGCUUUUUUCGGCUUCCAGUCACGCACGCUUGUCAUUGCGGCGCUUGUCUCCUCUGCGGCAGGCACGCACGUCCCGCUCCCUUUCUCUCCUCACAGACACACAGACAAACAGACUCGACCCAGCGUCUGUGCAGGUGUGUAUGCGCGCGGCUCCUUUUUGUUUCUUCCCUGCCAUCACGUCUCGUGUUGUUGUCCCUCCUCCUCCAUGUUUGCAUUAUGAUCUAACUAAGCAGUGCAGCAUGCCCACUUCCCUCCUCGUGGCUUCAUUGAACAUGAGCCCGUGCAGCUUGUGUAAGAGCGGGCCCGCAGGGCGGUGCGCAAGUUGGCUCUCGCAACGCUUUUCUUAGCCUUUACUCCACGAGGUUAGACACGGAUGCAGAAGCUUCACUGGAGCAGCACCGCGACACUGGCGAUGACUGCAACGUGAGGACUGCAGUCUGUCGAAGG